RNAcentral lists this ribosomal RNA (210 nucleotides) under uncultured bacterium. RNAcentral's name for it is "partial 16S ribosomal RNA". It matches the Rfam family "Bacterial small subunit ribosomal RNA", at positions 124 to 334 of the family's 1533-position model. The record is from RNAcentral.
ACCUGCCGUCUACUCUUGGACAGCCUUCUGAAAGGAAGAUUAAUACAAGAUGGCAUCAUGAGUCCGCAUGUUCACAUGAUUAAAGGUAUUCCGGUAGACGAUGGGGAUGCGUUCCAUUAGAUAGUAGGCGGGGUAACGGCCCACCUAGUCUUCGAUGGAUAGGGGUUCUGAGAGGAAGGUCCCCCACAUUGGAACUGAGACACGGUCCAA